CCUACGGGAGGCAGCAGUGGGGAAUUUUGGACAAUGGGCGAAAGCCUGAUCCAGCCAUUCCGCGUGCAGGAUGAAGGCCCUCGGGUUGUAAACUGCUUUUGUACAGAACGAAAAGGUUUCUAUUAAUACUAGGAGCUCAUGACGGUACUGUAAGAAUAAGCACCGGCUAACUACGUGCCAGCAGCCGCGGUAAUACGUAGGGUGCAAGCGUUAAUCGGAAUUACUGGGCGUAAAGCGUGCGCAGGCGGUUAUAUAAGUCAGAUGUGAAAUCCCCGGGCUCAACCUGGGAACUGCAUUUGAGACUGUAUAGCUAGAGUACGGUAGAGGGGGAUGGAAUUCCGCGUGUAGCAGUGAAAUGCGUAGAUAUGCGGAGGAACACCGAUGGCGAAGGCAAUCCCCUGGACCUGUACUGACGCUCAUGCACGAAAGCGUGGGGAGCAAACAGGAUUAGAUACCCUGGUAGUCCACGCCCUAAACGAUGUCAACUGGUUGUUGGGUCUUAACUGACUCAGUAACGAAGCUAACGCGNGAGUGACGCCGNGGGAGGUACGGCCGCGAGUAGAACGUACGAAAGAAGUUAGACGGCGUGAGACGUGCCGACGGACGACGACGAGGGAGGAGG
RNAcentral lists this ribosomal RNA (622 nucleotides) under uncultured bacterium. RNAcentral describes it as "bacterial SSU rRNA". The stretch from base 1 to 539 matches the Rfam family "Bacterial small subunit ribosomal RNA", at positions 338 to 873 of the family's 1533-position model. The record is from RNAcentral.